RNAcentral lists this ribosomal RNA (170 nucleotides) under uncultured Ochrobactrum sp. RNAcentral's name for it is "partial 16S ribosomal RNA". It matches the Rfam family "Bacterial small subunit ribosomal RNA", at positions 337 to 524 of the family's 1533-position model. The record is from RNAcentral. Lineage: Bacteria; Pseudomonadati; Pseudomonadota; Alphaproteobacteria; Hyphomicrobiales; Brucellaceae.
UCCUACGGGAGGCAGCAGUGGGGAAUAUUGGACAAUGGGCGCAAGCCUGAUCCAGUCAUGCCGCGUGAGUGAUGAAGGCCCUAGGGUUGUAAAGCUCUUUCACCGGUGAAGAUAAUGACGGUAACCGGAGAAGAAGCCCCGGCUAACUUCGUGCCAGCAGCCGCGGUAAU